This 425-nucleotide ribosomal RNA is filed under the name uncultured bacterium. RNAcentral's name for it is "partial 16S ribosomal RNA". It matches the Rfam family "Bacterial small subunit ribosomal RNA", at positions 354 to 796 of the family's 1533-position model. The record is from RNAcentral.
GUGGGGAAUCUUGCGCAAUGGGCGAAAGCCUGACGCAGCCAUGCCGCGUGAAUGAUGAAGGUCUUAGGAUUGUAAAAUUCUUUCACCGGGGACGAUAAUGACGGUACCCGGAGAAGAAGCUCCGGCUAACUUCGUGCCAGCAGCCGCGGUAAUACGAAGGGGGCUAGCGUUGCUCGGAAUUACUGGGCGUAAAGGGCGCGUAGGCGGACAGCUUAGUCAGAGGUGAAAGCGCAGGGCUCAACCUUGGAAUUGCCUUUGAUACUGGCUGUCUUGAGUUUGGGAGAGGUGAGUGGAACUCCGAGUGUAGAGGUGAAAUUCGUAGAUAUUCGGAAGAACACCAGUGGCGAAGGCGACUCACUGGCCCAAUACUGACGCUGAGGCGCGAAAGCGUGCGGAGCAAACAGGAUUAGAAACCCUAGUAGUCC